Molecule: ribosomal RNA, 313 nt
Filed under: uncultured bacterium
Lineage: Bacteria
Description: bacterial SSU rRNA
Rfam family: Bacterial small subunit ribosomal RNA
Source: RNAcentral
GAUGAACGCUGGCGGCGUGCCUAACACAUGCAAGUCGAACGGGGAUAGGAUGAAACCUAGUGAUUCCUAUUCUAGUGGCGGACGGGUGAGUAACGCGUGGAUAACCUGCCUUGUACAGGGGGAUAACACCUGGAAACAGGUGCUAAGACCGCAUAAGCGCACAGUCUCGCAUGGGACAGUGUGAAAAACUCCGGUGGUACAAGAUGGAUCCGCGUCUGAUUAGCCAGUUGGCGGGGUAACGGCCCACCAAGGCGACGAUCAGUAGCCGGCCUGAGAGGGUGGACGGCCACAUUGGGACUGAGACACGGCCCAA